UGCCAGACUCCUACGGGAGGCAGCAGUGGGGAAUAUUGCACAAUGGGGGAAACCCUGAUGCAGCGACGCCGCGUGAGUGAUGAAGUAUUUCGGUAUGUAAAGCUCUAUCAGCAGGGAAGAUAAUGACGGUACCUGACUAAGAAGCUCCGGCUAAAUACGUGCCAGCAGCCGCGGUAAUACGUAUGGAGCAAGCGUUAUCCGGAUUUAUUGGGUUUAAAGGGUGCGCAGGCGGAAGAUCAAGUCAGCGGUAAAAUUGAGGGGCGCACCCUCUCCGAGCCGUUGAAACUGGUUUUCUUGAGUGAGCGAGAAGUAUGCGGAAUGCGUGGUGUAGCGGUGAAAUGCAUAGAUAUCACGCAGAACUCCGAUUGCGAAGGCAGCAUACCGGCGCUCAACUGACGCUCAUGCACGAAAGUGUGGGUAUCGAACAGGAUUAGAUACCCUUGUA
RNAcentral lists this ribosomal RNA (445 nucleotides) under uncultured bacterium. RNAcentral's name for it is "bacterial SSU rRNA". It matches the Rfam family "Bacterial small subunit ribosomal RNA", at positions 329 to 792 of the family's 1533-position model. The record is from RNAcentral.